GAUUAUGGCUCAGGAUUAACGCUGGCGGCGUGCCUAAUACAUGCAAGUCGAAUGGUAGCAAUACCAUGGCGAACGGGUGAGUAACACGUAGGUAACCUGUCUUUAAGCCGAGGAUAACCAUUGGAAACGAUGGAUAAUACUGGAUAGGACAUUUGAAGGCAUCUUUAGGUGUUUAAAGAUUUAUCACUUAGAGAGGGGCCUGCGGCGCAUUAGCUAGUUGGUGAGGUGAAGGCUUACCAAGGCGAUGAUGCGUAGCCGGACUGAGAGGUUGAACGGCCACAAUGGAACUGAGAACGGUCCAUACUCCUACGGGAGGCAGCAGUAGGGAAUUUUCGGCAAUGGGCGGAAGCCUGACCGAGCAACGCCGCGUGAACGAAGAAGUAUUUCGGUAUGUAAAGUUCUUUUAUUAGGGACGAAAAGACAGAUUGACGGUACCUAAUGAAUAAGCUCCGGCUAACUACGUGCCAGCCGCAGC
Molecule: ribosomal RNA, 475 nt
Filed under: uncultured bacterium
Lineage: Bacteria
Description: bacterial SSU rRNA
Rfam family: Bacterial small subunit ribosomal RNA
Source: RNAcentral